GCGCACGCUGGCGGCGUGCUUAACACCUGCCAGUCGCACGGAAAGGCCCUGCUUUUGUGGGGUGCUCGAGUGGCGAACGGGUGAGUAACACGUGAGUAACCUGCCCUUGACUUUGGGAUAACUUCAGGAAACUGGGGCUAAUACCGGAUAGGAGCUCCUGCUGCAUGGUGGGGGUUGGAAAGUUUCGGCGGUUGGGGAUGGACUCGCGGCUUAUCAGCUUGUUGGUGGGGUAGUGGCUUACCAAGGCUUUGACGGGUAGCCGGCCUGAGAGGGUGACCGGCCACAUUGGGACUGAGAUACGGCCCAGACUCCUACGGGAGGCAGCAGUGGGGAAUAUUGCACAAUGGGCGGAAGCCUGAUGCAGCAACGCCGCGUGCGGGAUGACGGCCUUCGGGUUGUAAACCGCUUUCGCCUGUGACGAAGCGUGAGUGACGGUAAUGGGUAAAGAAGCACCGGCUAACUACGUG
RNAcentral lists this ribosomal RNA (467 nucleotides) under uncultured bacterium. Its description in RNAcentral is "partial 16S ribosomal RNA". It matches the Rfam family "Bacterial small subunit ribosomal RNA", at positions 30 to 507 of the family's 1533-position model. The record is from RNAcentral.